UACGUAGGGUGCAAGCGUUAUCCGGAAUUAUUGGGCGUAAAGAGCUCGUAGGCGGUUUGUCACGUCUGCUGUGAAAACUGGAGGCUCAACCUCCAGCCUGCAGUGGGUACGGGCAGACUAGAGUGCGGUAGGGGAGAUUGGAAUUCCUGGUGUAGCGGUGGAAUGCGCAGAUAUCAGGAGGAACACCGAUGGCGAAGGCAGAUCUCUGGAGCCGUAACUGACGCUGAGGAGCGAAAGCAUGGGGAGCGAACAGG
RNAcentral lists this ribosomal RNA (254 nucleotides) under uncultured bacterium. RNAcentral's name for it is "partial 16S ribosomal RNA". It matches the Rfam family "Bacterial small subunit ribosomal RNA", at positions 524 to 776 of the family's 1533-position model. The record is from RNAcentral.